This 640-nucleotide ribosomal RNA is filed under the name uncultured eukaryote. RNAcentral's name for it is "eukaryotic LSU rRNA". The stretch from base 222 to 375 matches the Rfam family "5.8S ribosomal RNA". The record is from RNAcentral.
ACUAGUGAUUUCCGUAGGUGAACCUGCGGAAGGAUCAUUACCACACAACAUACGAUCCAAACGAUCAACACUUUGCGAAUUGUGACUUCGUUGAGAAUUUAUUCUUCUCGGAACACUUUUUACAAAAACAAAAACUCUUUAAACCAACAUACUGAUUUAAAGUGGAGAACAGAGAUGCGCUCUUGUGUAUCUUUCUUAUCCAAAAAAAACUAAAAUUUUACAACUUUUAGCAACGGAUAUCUUGGCUCACGCAACGAUGAAGAACGCAGCGAAAUGCGAUACGUAAUGUGAAUUGCAGAAUUCAGUGAAUCAUCAAAUUUUUGAACGCAAGUUGCGCUUCCGGGUAUCCCUGGUAGCAUGCCUGUUUCAGUGUCCGUAACCCCAACUCACCCCACCGUUCUUUGCGGAAUGUGUGAGGGUUGGACUAUGGAUGUCUAGCUUUCACGGGCUAGUUGUCUGAAGUGGAGAGGUCGUUGAAUCGUCCUGACAGUGAGGUAUGCCUGGCGGCAAACCACCCCUGCCGGUUCGGUUAUUCCACAGCGACCCGACCGCCNCCAAGCUUUCACGAGUUUGUCGACGGCCCCAUUUAACUCCUCAUCUAAAAUCAAAUAACACUUCACGGUGGAUUUAAGCAUAUCAA